RNAcentral lists this ribosomal RNA (617 nucleotides) under Bacillus pumilus. RNAcentral's name for it is "bacterial SSU rRNA". It matches the Rfam family "Bacterial small subunit ribosomal RNA", at positions 550 to 1167 of the family's 1533-position model. Lineage: Bacteria; Bacillati; Bacillota; Bacilli; Caryophanales; Bacillaceae. The record is from RNAcentral.
AUAAUUGGGCGUAAAGGGCUCGCAGGCGGUUUCUUAAGUCUGAUGUGAAAGCCCCCGGCUCAACCGGKGAGGGUCAUUGGAAACUGGGAAACUUGAGUGCAGAAGAGGAGAGUGGAAUUCCACGUGUAGCGGUGAAAUGCGUAGAGAUGUGGAGGAACACCAGUGGCGAAGGCGACUCUCUGGUCUGUAACUGACGCUGAGGAGCGAAAGCGUGGGGAGCGAACAGGAUUAGAUACCCUGGUAGUCCACGCCGUAAACGAUGAGUGCUAAGUGUUAGGGGGUUUCCGCCCCUUAGUGCUGCAGCUAACGCAUUAAGCACUCCGCCUGGGGAGUACGGUCGCAAGACUGAAACUCAAAGGAAUUGACGGGGGCCCGCACAAGCGGUGGAGCAUGUGGUUUAAUUCGAAGCAACGCGAAGAACCUUACCAGGUCUUGACAUCCUCUGACAACCCUAGAGAUAGGGCUUUCCCUUCGGGGACAGAGUGACAGGUGGUGCAUGGUUGUCGUCAGCUCGUGUCGUGAGAUGUUGGGUUAAGUCCCGCAACGAGCGCAACCCUUGAUCUUAGUUGCCAGCAUUCAGUUGGGCACUCUAAGGUGACUGCCGGUGACAAACCGGA